This 340-nucleotide ribosomal RNA is filed under the name uncultured Pseudomonas sp. Its description in RNAcentral is "bacterial SSU rRNA". It matches the Rfam family "Bacterial small subunit ribosomal RNA", at positions 1045 to 1382 of the family's 1533-position model. The record is from RNAcentral. Lineage: Bacteria; Pseudomonadati; Pseudomonadota; Gammaproteobacteria; Pseudomonadales; Pseudomonadaceae.
AUGGCGUGUCGUCAGCUCGUGUCGUGAGAUGUUGGGUUUAAGUCCCGUAACGAGCGCAACCCUUGUCCUUAGUUACCAGCACGUUAUGGUGGGCACUCUAAGGAGACUGCCGGUGACAAACCGGAGGAAGGUGGGGAUGACGUCAAGUCAUCAUGGCCCUUACGGCCUGGGCUACACACGUGCUACAAUGGUCGGUACAAAGGGUUGCCAAGCCGCGAGGUGGAGCUAAUCCCAUAAAACCGAUCGUAGUCCGGAUCGCAGUCUGCAACUCGACUGCGUGAAGUCGGAAUCGCUAGUAAUCGUGAAUCAGAAUGUCACGGUGAAUACGUUCCCGGGCCUU